CUGGAUACGAGACAUCGCAUGGUCAACGUUUGGAAAGAUUUUUUGGUUGGGGAUGGGCUCGCGGCCUAUCAGCUUGUUGGUGAGGUAAUGGCUCACCAAGGCGUCGACGGGUAGCCGGCCUGAGAGGGUGACCGGCCACACUGGGACUGAGACACGGCCCAGACUCCUACGGGAGGCAGCAGUGGGGAAUAUUGCACAAUGGGCGGAAGCCUGAUGCAGCAACGCCGCGUGAGGGAUGACGGCCUUCGGGUUGUAAACCUCUUUUAGCAAGGAAGAAGCGAAAGUGACGGUACUUGCAGAAAAAGCGCCGGCUAACUACGUGCCAGCAGCCGCGGUAAUACGUAGGGCGCAAGCGUUAUCCGGAAUUAUUGGGCGUAAAGAGCUCGUAGGCGGUUUGUCGCGUCUGCUGUGAAAUCCCGAGGCUCAACCUCGGGUCUGCAGUGGGUACGGGCAGACUAGAGUGCGGUAGGGGAGAUUGGAAUUCCUGGUGUAGCGGUGGAAUGCGCAGAUAUCAGGAGGAACACCGAUGGCGAAGGCAGAUCUCUGGGCCGUAACUGACGCUGAGGAGCGAAAGGGUGGGGAGCAAACAGGCUUAGAUACCCUGGUAGUCCACCCCGUAAACGUUGGGAACUAGUUGUGGGGUCCUUUCCACGGAUUCCGUGACGCAGCUAACGCAUUAAGUUCCCCGCCUGGGGAGUACGGCCGCAAGGCUAAAACUCAAAGGAAUUGACGGGGACCCGCACAAGCGGCGGAGCAUGCGGAUUAAUUCGAUGCAACGCGAAGAACCUUACCAAGGCUUGACAUACACGAGAACACCCUAGAAAUAGGGGACUCUUUGGACACUCGUGAACAGGUGGUGCAUGGUUGUCGUCAGCUCGUGUCGUGAGAUGUUGGGUUAAGUCCCGCAACGAGCGCAACCCUCGUUCUAUGNUUGCCAGCACGUAAUGGUGGGAACUCAUGGGAUACUNGCCGGGGUCAACUCGGAGGAAGGUGGGGAUGACGUCAAAUCAUCAUGCCCCUUAUGUCUUGGGCUU
RNAcentral lists this ribosomal RNA (1034 nucleotides) under Microbacterium yannicii. RNAcentral describes it as "bacterial SSU rRNA". It matches the Rfam family "Bacterial small subunit ribosomal RNA", at positions 169 to 1216 of the family's 1533-position model. The record is from RNAcentral. Lineage: Bacteria; Bacillati; Actinomycetota; Actinomycetes; Micrococcales; Microbacteriaceae.